CUUUUUAAGAUUGGCACUCGAACAACUGUGAGAUUAUCAAAUGCUAACCCAUAUAUAUAAAAACAUUAGUUUCGAAAAACUUUUGAAUUGACUAAUAUGUCAUUCAUAGUUGAUUAUAUUACUAAAUGUAGAAGCCCAAUUUCACCCGGGCCCAUUACAAACAAAUAAAAUACAUACACCCAAACCUCAACCCACCUAAACACUAACCCAAAACCCUAAUGGCCUAACAAGCCCAAAACCUAAACUAUUUUCAGCCAAAAAAAAAAGAAAGAAACAAAAAAAAACCUAGCCGCUUUCCCUAGCCUAGCGCCGCAACCACCCUUGGUCUUCUGCUCACCUGCUCUGCCAGCAACCACCGCCAACUGCCACUGUCAUCUCCACCCACGUGCCC
This 391-nucleotide long non-coding RNA is filed under the name Gossypium raimondii (Peruvian cotton). Its description in RNAcentral is "long non-coding RNA (GRAI_LNC004753)". Lineage: Eukaryota; Viridiplantae; Streptophyta; Magnoliopsida; Malvales; Malvaceae. The record is from RNAcentral.